CCUACGGGGGGCAGCAGUCGGGAAUAUUGGGCAAUGGGCGCAACCCUGACGCAGCAACGCCGCGUGAAGGAAGAAGGUUUUCGGGUUGUAAACUUCUUUCAAGGGGGAAGAGCAGAAGACGGUACCCCUUGAAUAAGCCACGGCUAACUAGGUGCCAGCAGCCGCGGAAAUACGUAGGUGGCAAGCGUUGUCCGGAUUUACUGGGUGUAAAGGGCGUGCAGCCGGAGAGACAAGUCAGCUGUGAAAUCCACGGGCUCAACCCGGGAACUGCAUUUGAAACUGUUUCCCUUGAGUGUCGGAGAGGUAAUCGGAAUUCCUAGUGUAGCGGUGAAAUGCGUAGAUAUAAGGAAGAACACCAGUGGCGAAGGCGGAUUACUGGACGAUAACUGACGGUGAGGCGCGAAAGCGUGGGGAGCAAACAGGAUUAGAUACCCGAGUAGUC
RNAcentral lists this ribosomal RNA (442 nucleotides) under uncultured bacterium. RNAcentral's name for it is "partial 16S ribosomal RNA". It matches the Rfam family "Bacterial small subunit ribosomal RNA", at positions 338 to 795 of the family's 1533-position model. The record is from RNAcentral.